Molecule: ribosomal RNA, 425 nt
Filed under: uncultured bacterium
Lineage: Bacteria
Description: partial 16S ribosomal RNA
Rfam family: Bacterial small subunit ribosomal RNA
Source: RNAcentral
GUGGGGAAUAUUGGGCAAUGGGGGAAACCCUGACCCAGCAACGCCGCGUGAAGGAAGAAGGUCUUCGGAUCGUAAACUUCUAUCCUUGGUGAAGAUAAUGACGGUAGCCGAGAAGGAAGCCCCGGCUAACUACGUGCCAGCAGCCGCGGUAAUACGUAGGGGGCAAGCGUUGUCCGGAAUGAUUGGGCGUAAAGGGCGCGUAGGCGGCCUGGUAAGUCUGGAGUGAAAGUCCUGCUUUUAAGGUAGGAAUUGCUUUGGAUACUGUCGGGCUUGAGUGCAGGAGAGGUAAGUGGAAUUCCCGGUGUAGCGGUGAAAUGCGUAGAGAUCGGGAGGAACACCAGUGGCGAAGGCGACUUACUGGACUGUAACUGACGCUGAGGCGCGAAAGUGUGGGGAGCAAACAGGAUUAGAUACCCGUGUAGUCC